Molecule: ribosomal RNA, 253 nt
Filed under: uncultured bacterium
Lineage: Bacteria
Description: partial 16S ribosomal RNA
Rfam family: Bacterial small subunit ribosomal RNA
Source: RNAcentral
GACGUAGGGCGCGAGCGUUGUCCGGAUUUAUUGGGCGUAAAGAGCUCGUAGGCGGCUUGUCGCGUCGACUGUGAAAUCCCGCGGCUCAACUGCGGGUCUGCAGCCGAUACGGGCAGGCUAGAGUUCGGUAGGGGAGACUGGAAUUCCUGGUGUAGCGGUGAAAUGCGCAGAUAUCAGGAGGAACACCGGUGGCGAAGGCGGGUCUCUGGGCCACUACUGACGCUGAGAAGCGAAAGCAUGGGGAGCGAACAGG